RNAcentral lists this ribosomal RNA (623 nucleotides) under uncultured archaeon. Its description in RNAcentral is "bacterial SSU rRNA". It matches the Rfam family "Archaeal small subunit ribosomal RNA", at positions 66 to 691 of the family's 1478-position model. The record is from RNAcentral.
UCCUUCGGANCACCGGCGGACUGCUAGUAACACGUUGGACAACCUACCCUCGGGUGGGGGAUAACCUCGGGAAACUGAGGCUAAUACCCCAUAGGCCUCGGAUACUGGAAGGUUCCGAGACCGAAAGCUCCGGCGCCCGAGGAUGGGUCUGCGGCCUAUCAGGUAGUUGGUGGUGUAAAGGACCACCAAGCCUACGACGGGUACGGGCCCUGAGAGGGGGAGCCCGGAGAUGGACUCUGAGACACGAGUCCAGGCCCUACGGGGCGCAGCAGGCGCGAAACCUUCGCAAUGCGCGAAAGCGCGACGAGGGGAGCCCGAGUGCCCUUCCUUUCGGGAGGGCUUUUCUGGAGCCUAAAAAGCUCCAGGAAUAAGGGCUGGGCAAGACGGGUGCCAGCCGCCGCGGUAAUACCCGCAGCUCGAGUGGUGGCCACUAUUAUUGAGCCUAAAGCGUCCGUAGCCGGACCCGUAAAUCCCUGGGUAAAUCCUGGCGCUCAACGUCAGGAAUUCCGGGGAGACUGCGGGUCUUGGGACCGGGAGAGGCCGGAAGUACUCCCGGNGUAUGGGUAAAAUCCUGUAAUCCCGGGGGGACCANCUGUGGCGAAAGCNUCCGGCUUGANCUGCUC